GACGAACGCUGGCGGCGUGCUUAACACAUGCAAGUCGAACGGAAAGGCCCUGCUUGCCGGUUACUCUCGUGUCGAACGGGUGAGUAACACGUGGGUGAUCUGCCCUGCACUUCGGGAUAUGCCUUGGAAACUCGGUCUAUUACCCGAUAUGAGCCUUUCUUAGUGUUAUGUUUUGAAAGUUUUUUGGGUGUAGGAUGAGCUCUCGGCCUCUCAGCUUGUUGGUGGGGUAAUGGGCUAACAAGGCGGCGCCGGGUAGCCGGGCUGGGAGGGUGGACGGGCAAAAUUGGACUGGGGAAAGGCCCAGGAUCCUAAGGGAGGGAGGAGGGGGGAAUAAUGGAAAAAGGGCGGAAGGCUGAUGGAGGGGAGGCGGGGGGGGGAAGAAGGGCUUCGGGUUGGAAAACCCUUUCGGUAGGGACGAAGGUGAUAGUGACGGUACCUAGAGAAGAAGCACCGGCUAACUACGUG
RNAcentral lists this ribosomal RNA (465 nucleotides) under uncultured bacterium. Its description in RNAcentral is "partial 16S ribosomal RNA". It matches the Rfam family "Bacterial small subunit ribosomal RNA", at positions 28 to 507 of the family's 1533-position model. The record is from RNAcentral.